GUGCUCGCUCUGGCAGCACAUAUACUAAAAUUGGAAUGAUACAGAGAAGAUUAGCAUGGCUCCCGCGCAAGGAUUACAUGCAAGUUCGUGAAGAAUGAGUUUCUAAACUUCU
Small nuclear RNA from Jaculus jaculus (lesser Egyptian jerboa), 112 nucleotides. NCBI's taxonomy places the organism in Eukaryota, Metazoa, Chordata, Mammalia, Rodentia, Dipodidae. The record is from Ensembl.